AGAAACGACUCCGACUUAGUCCGACACUCUCCAAAAGUGUCGACCAGUCACUAAAACUGAAGUCAAUCCUAUCCAAAGCUCAGAAACACUACAAUGAUCCAAGUAAACAGGAUCACACUAGCCUAACAACCAAACUCACGUGCCCUCGGCACAAUCUGAUGCAAAAAUAGCAAUCCGGAUCCACCGUCAACCUCAACGGCACCCAAUAGACCGGAACAAUCUAAACACUACUGUAAAAAUAAACUCGGCAUCCCAGCACGAGCGUAAAUAUAUUCUACACUAUCCUGUGUAUCCACCGCUCACAACCUGCGGUGAUACCAAUAAACUACGGCUCCUAGAGCUAAAUCUGGUAGUUUAAACAUAUGACGGUGUAGAAUCGUUAGUUUUCUCCCAAGUCAAAUUUCAGUUCAAUAUGUAUAUUUAACUAACAUUUAAGCUCCAAUUUCAGAUUCC
Molecule: long non-coding RNA, 453 nt
Filed under: Ananas comosus (pineapple)
Lineage: Eukaryota; Viridiplantae; Streptophyta; Magnoliopsida; Poales; Bromeliaceae
Description: long non-coding RNA (ACOM_LNC042700)
Source: RNAcentral